Molecule: ribosomal RNA, 372 nt
Filed under: uncultured organism
Description: bacterial SSU rRNA
Rfam family: Bacterial small subunit ribosomal RNA
Source: RNAcentral
CGUAGGGGGCAAGCGUUGUCCGGAAUCAUUGGGCGUAAAGAGCGUGUAGGCGGUCCGGUAAGUCGGUUGUGAAAGUCCAGGGCUCAACCCUGGGAUGCCGACCGAUACUGUCGGACUAGAGUUCGGAAGAGGCGAGUGGAAUUCCCGGUGUAGCGGUGAAAUGCGCAGAUAUCGGGAGGAACACCAAUGGCGAAGGCAGCUCGCUGGGACGUUACUGACGCUGAGACGCGAAAGCGUGGGGAGCAAACAGGAUUAGAUACCCUGGUAGUCCACGCCGUAAACGAUGGGCACUAGGUGUGGCGGGUGUCGACUCCCGCCGUGCCGCAGCUAACGCAUUAAGUGCCCCGCCUGGGGAGUACGGCCGCAAGGCUA